RNAcentral lists this ribosomal RNA (403 nucleotides) under bacterium. Its description in RNAcentral is "partial 16S ribosomal RNA". It matches the Rfam family "Bacterial small subunit ribosomal RNA", at positions 355 to 776 of the family's 1533-position model. The record is from RNAcentral.
UGGGGAAUAUUGCACAAUGGGGGAAACCCUGAUGCAGCGACGCCGCGUGAACGAAGAAGGUAUUCGUAUCGUAAAGUUCUGUCCUAUGGGAAGAUAAUGACAGUACCAUAGAAGAAAGCUCCGGCUAAAUACGUGCCAGCAGCCGCGGUAAUACGUAUGGAGCGAGCGUUGUCCGGAGUUAUUGGGCGUAAAGGGUACGCAGGCGGUUUAAUAAGUCGAAUGUUAAAGAUCGGGGCUCAACCCCGCAAAGCAUUGGAAACUGAUAAACUUGAGUAGUGGAGAGGAAAGUGGAAUUCCUAGUGUAGUGGUGAAAUACGUAGAUAUUAGGAGGAAUACCAGUAGCGAAGGCGACUUUCUGGACACAAACUGACGCUGAGGUACGAAAGCGUGGGGAGCAAACAGG